UACAGAGGGGGCAAGCGUUAUUCGGAAUUAUUGGGUGUAAAGGGCGCGUAGGCGGCCUGACAAGUGGAAGGUGAAAUCCCUCGGCUUAACCGAGGAACUGCCCUCCAAACUGUUUGGCUUGAGACCGGGAGAGGUGAGUGGAAUUCCCAGUGUAGCGGUGAAAUGCGUAGAUAUUGGGAGGAACACCAGUGGCGAAGGCGGCUCACUGGACCGGUACUGACGCUGAGGCGCGAAAGCGUGGGGAGCAAACGGG
Molecule: ribosomal RNA, 253 nt
Filed under: uncultured bacterium
Lineage: Bacteria
Description: partial 16S ribosomal RNA
Rfam family: Bacterial small subunit ribosomal RNA
Source: RNAcentral